GGGGCUUAGUAGUUGAGCAUCUGCUUGGCAUGCAGGACCUUUCAGGUUCAAUCCUUGGCAUCACCA
This 66-nucleotide transfer RNA is filed under the name Sphaerodactylus townsendi. RNAcentral's name for it is "tRNA-Ala". Lineage: Eukaryota; Metazoa; Chordata; Lepidosauria; Squamata; Sphaerodactylidae. The record is from RNAcentral.